RNAcentral lists this transfer RNA (73 nucleotides) under Deltaproteobacteria bacterium. RNAcentral's name for it is "tRNA-Leu". The record is from RNAcentral. RNAcentral also lists the same sequence under 1 other name. Lineage: Bacteria; Pseudomonadati; Myxococcota; Myxococcia.
GCCGCCGUAGACCAACGGCAGAGUCAAUGCGUCGAGAGCGCAUCCAGUGCGAGUUCGACUCUCGCCGGCGGCA